This 59-nucleotide transfer RNA is filed under the name Gammaproteobacteria bacterium. RNAcentral's name for it is "tRNA-Met". It matches the Rfam family "tRNA", at positions 8 to 63 of the family's 71-position model. Rfam says of the family: Transfer RNA (tRNA) molecules are approximately 80 nucleotides in length. Their secondary structure includes four short double-helical elements and three loops (D, anti-codon, and T loops). Further hydrogen bonds mediate the characteristic L-shaped molecular structure. tRNAs have two regions of fundamental functional importance: the anti-codon, which is responsible for specific mRNA codon recognition, and the 3' end, to which the tRNAs corresponding amino acid is attached (by aminoacyl-tRNA synthetases). tRNAs cope with the degeneracy of the genetic code in two manners: having more than one tRNA (with a specific anti-codon) for a particular amino acid; and 'wobble' base-pairing, i.e. permitting non-standard base-pairing at the 3rd anti-codon position. Lineage: Bacteria; Pseudomonadati; Pseudomonadota; Gammaproteobacteria. The record is from RNAcentral.
UGGAGCAGUCUGGUAGCUCGUCGGGCUCAUAACCCGAAGGUCGUGGGUUCAAAUCCUAC